ACACAAUCUUACAAUCUCAAUGGAUAUAUUUAAUCAAAAUAUGCAUCUUUUGCGUUCCAUUAUUUCUGUACACUUAACUGGAAUUUUCUUACAACUCGUCACUCACUUUGAGUGGUUUACUUGUUUCCUUUCUCAAAAUGACACAAUUCAACUAUUAUAGAUAGCAGUUGUAUGCUAAUUUCUAUAAUCAAAAUAUGAACUUAGUGGAAGCAAACAAAGUCUCUCGGAGUAAUAUGGAAUAACGAUUAUGUUCUAUUCUGGACAUACUUGUGGUGCCUACUACUUAGACAAUUAUCACUCUGCUUAUGCCUAUUUCUUUCAAAAAGAUUCCCAUUCUUUCCUAAUAUAUAAAUUUGUAAAACAUCCAUCAUCAUCAUCAACAACAACAACAACAUAGCCUUUCAGUCCCAAGCAAGUUGGGGUAGGCUAGAGUUGAAACCCAACAAGAGCCACAAAUCAGGGUUCGGGCACAUGAAUAGCUAUUUUCCAAGCACUCCUAUCCAGGGCUAAAUCUUAGGGUAUAUUCCAUCCCUUCAAAAUCUCCUUUUAUUGCCUCUUCCCAUGUCAAUUUUGGUCUUCCUCUGCCUCUCUUCACAUUACUGUCACGCCUUAGGUUUCCACUACACACCGGUGCCUCCAGAGGCCUUCAUUGGACAUGUCCAAACCAUCUCAGCCGGUGUUGGAUAAGCUUUUCUUCAAUUGGUGCUACCCCUAACCUAUCACGUAUAUCCUCAUUCCAGACUUGAUCCCUUCUCGUAUGACCACAAAUCCAACGUAACAUACGCAUUUCCGCAACACUUAUCUAUUGGACAUAUCGUCUUUUUGUAGGCCAACAUUCUGCACCAUACAGCAUUGCAGGUCUAAUCGUCAUCCUAUAAAACUUGCCUUUUAGCUUCAAUAGUACCCUCUUAUCAUAUAAAAUUUCUGAUGUUUGGCGCCACUUCAUCCACCCCGCUUUGAUUCUAUGACUAACAUCCUCAUUAAUAUCCCCAUCUCAUUGUAGCAUUGAUCCCAAAUAUCGAAAUGCAUCAAAGUCACAUCUCCGUCCUCAUGUGUAGUAGUGCCAAAGUCACAUCUCAUAUAUUCAGUUUUAGUUCUGAUGAGUCUAAAACCUUUUGACUUUAGGGUCUCCCGCCACAACUCCAGUUUCCUAUUUACUCUUGCUCGACUUUCAUCAACUAGCACUACAUCAUCCAUGAAGAACAUACGCUAAGGAAUAUCCCCUUGAAUGUCCCUUGUUACCUCAUCCAUCACCAAGGAAAAUAGAUAAGGGCUCAAAGCAGACCUUUGAUGCAGUCCUAUUCUAAUCGGAAAGUCAUCUGUGUCGCCAUCACUUGUUUGGACUCUAGUUACAACAUUGUUGUACAUGUACUUAAUAAGUCCAACGUACUUCGUUGGGACUUUAUGUUUGUCUAAAACCCACCACAUAACAUUUCUUUGUAUUUUGUCAUACGCCUUCUCCAAGUCAAUGAAAACCAUGAGUAGAUCCUUCUUCUUCUCCCUAUACCGCUUCAUAACUUGUCUUAUUAAGAAAAUAGUUUCCAUGGUUGACCUUCCAGGCAUGAAACAAAUUGGUUCAUAGAGACCUGUGUUAUCCUUCUCAAACAAUGCUCGAUAACUCUCUCCCAUAGCUUCAUAGUAUGGCUCAUCAACUUAAUUCCUCGGUAAUUAGUACAACUUUGAAUAUCUCCCUUAUUCUUGUAUAUUGGUACCAGUAUACUUCUCCUCCACUCUUCCGGCAUCUUGUUCGACUGAAAAAUAUGGUUGAACAACUUGGUUAGCCAUACUAUGGCUAUAUCCCCGAGGCAUCUCCAGACCUUAAUUGGGAUACCAUCCGGGCCCAUCGCCUUACCACUUUUCAUCCUUUUCAACGCCUCUCUGACCUCAGAUUCUUGGAUCUUCCAAACAAAGUGCCUGUGGUGUCAUCAAAAGAGUCAUCCAACUGAAAAGUUGUGUUCUCAUUCUCACCAUUGAACAAUUUGUCAAAAUACUCUUGCCAUCUAUAUUUGAUCUCAUCCUCCUUUACCAAGAUGUUCUCCAUUUCAUCCUUAAUGCACUUAACUUGGUUGAAGUCCCUCGUCUUUCUCUCACGAAACUUAGCCAUCCUAUAGAUGUCCUUCUCUCCUUCCUUCGUACCUAAUCGUUGGUAAAGAUCCUCAUACGCCCUACCCUUUGCCACACUUACAACUCACUUUGUGAUCUUCUUUGCCUCCUUGUACUUUUCUAUGUUGUCCACACUCUUGUCAUGGAACAAGCGACUAUAGCAUUCUUUCUUCUCCUUAAUAGUCUUUUGGACUUCCUCAUUUCACCACCAAAUAUCUUUAUCUACGCCUUUACCCCCCUUGGUCACUCCAAGCACCUCCGAGGCCACCUUCCGAAUGCAGUUUGCCAUCUUCUCCCACAUGUUGUUUGCGUCCUCUCCUUCCUUCCAAGGGCCCUCUUUGAUUACCCUUUCCUUGAAGACCUCUGAUGUCUCCUCUUUCAGUUUUCACCACUUUGUUCUUGCAGUUUUGGCUUGUUUAUCCCUGCGUGUGCGCAUCUGAAAAUGAAAGUCUGCCACCACAAGCUUAUGUUGAGAAACAACACAUUCCCCUUGUAUCACCUUGCAAUCCAAGCAUGCCCGUUUAUCCUCUCUUGUGAGGAUAAAGUCAAUCUGGCUAUAGUGUUGGCCACUACUAAAAGUCACUAAAUGGGACCGUCUCUUCCUAAAGAAAGUGUUCGCUAUCAUCAAGUCAAAAGCUACUGCAAAGUCCAAGACUUCCUCUCCCUCCUGAUUCCUACUACCAUACCCAAAACCUCCAUGAACCGCCUCGAAGCCUGCACUUAUUGUACCUACAUGCCCAUUAAGAUCUCCUCCUAUGAAAAGCUUCACGCUAGAAGGUACAGUUCUAACCAGGCUAUCUAAAUCUUCCUAAAAGCCUCUUAGCACUCUCAUCGUGGCCUACUUGGGGGGCAUACACACUCAUUAUGUUCAGGACCAUACCACCAACGACAAGCCUAACUAGGAUAAUCCUAUCCCCUUGCCUUCUCACGUCCACCACUCCAUCCUUGAGACUCUUGUCAAUCAAAACUCCCGCUCCAUUUCUAUUUGCAGUUGUCCCUAUGUACCAAAGCUUGAAACCGGUAUUGUCCACCUCCUUCACCUUCUAGCCCUUCCAUUUAGUCUCUUGAACGCAUAAGAUAUUUACACGCCUCCUAGUCGCUAUGUCAACUAACUCUCUUAAGUUACCUGUAAGAGACCCUACAUUCCAACUACCUACACGAAUCCUAGUAGCUUCCUUGCCCUUCUCACCCGUUGAGAGAGAUGUAAAGACCCUUUCUCAUUUUUCACUACACCCGGGCGCCGAUGUAGCGUGCCACUAAGGAAAUGACGACCUGAUCCUUGCUCACUUGACACCAUGCCCAGAUCGCGACAUGGCACGUCACCAAGGGGGAGACGACCCGGCCCUUGCCCAUUUAACACCAUACUCGGGUUCCGAUAUGGCGCGUCGCUAAGAGGGUUACGCCCCAAUGGAUUUAUUUUGGGUUCCAUCUCCAUUAGAAUGGCUAGGUUUAACGUUUGCUCGCCAAGCCUAUCACAACCCUCCUCAGGGCUUGGGACCUGCUAUGUUGAGACAACAUAGGCGGAGUUAAAAAUUUGUAAAACAUCCAUGUUGUAAGAAAUCUCCUUUCUUCAAAUAUCUUCCCAGUAAUUUGCAUGAUUCAGAAAGAAGUUGGUAUUGUCCCUCUGCUGCAGAGCUUCUACAAAGCAUCUAAGAUAAAAUUUGAUGAUAAGGAGAGUGGUUUUAAGGCUAAAGCUCAGCAAGCAGUAGUUCGGCUGCAGGUGAGUGCUGUUUCUAGUCCUCAGCAUUGAGAAUCCACUGCUAUGACAUGUGACUUAUUUUCAUAUCCAAGCAAUACUUGAACUGUAGCAAGGGGAAGACAGAUACCGAGCUGCAUGAAAAAAAAUAUGUCAAAUCAGUCGCAAUGAAUUUGACUCAGUGUACAAACGUCUUGGUGUGGAGCUUGAAGAAAAGGUAGUUUUACUUUCUCUGAUACGCCAAAAAUUCUAUAAAUACCGAGGAAAACAUCCUAAAUAUUUCAUCUAUGACUUAUAGUUGGAAAGUAACUCUGUAUGAAUUGAAGUUGUGGUGAAGUUAGUAAUGUAAUUUUAGUAUAUCUGUUCAUAUAUGCAUUUCUAGGAACAUCUAACUUAUGCCAUAUUUGAGAAAAUGAUUCCCUGUAAACUAGUUAGCUUCAGAUUCUUAUCUGUGUUAAACUGCAAUUAGUUUCAGACACACUUCAUGUUGGUCCUUUUGUGCUGUUUACUAUCUAACUCUGAAGAAUUAGCCUGAAUUUUAUGUUUCGCUUAAUAACUGUGUCCUAGUUUACUAAUAAAUAACCGUUUGAAUAUUUUUUUGGGUGGUGAGUUCCAAGAAUUGUCAAUUGUACCCAUCUUCGAUUUGUUUGAAUUCAAUUUGCCUUACCAGCAAUGUACCAAUGUUUUCCUUGUUUCAUUAACCAAACUUAACCAAUAACUACACUUGUUCAUGUUCACAUUUUUCUUUUUCUUUUUUUUGUAAAGUCCUUCUGUGGACUGAUUGAAGUGUAAUUUUUCUCAGGGCGAGAGCUUUUACAAUCCUUACAUGUUUUGGAGGAAUUAACAAAUAAAGGCUUGAUUAUAGAAAAUGAGGGUGCUCAAGUAAUACCUCUUGAGGGCCAAAAAUCCGCAUUGGUUGUGGUCAAAAGUAAUGGAGGCUUCAACUAUGCCUCCACAGACUUAGCUGCUCUUUGGUCAGUUGUGAAAACAGAAAUUUCAAAGUUCUCCCAUUCCUGCAUCUUCUCUCUCAGAGGGCACAAAUUCUUGUUACAUGUUUCUAUGUGAUCUAAAUUCUUGCCCUAACUUUUUUGCAAACUCAGCCUGCUUUUUUUCCUCCACUCAUGAAGGUAUCGGCUUAAUGUGGAGAGGGCAGAAUGGAUAGUAUAUGUGACAGACGUAGGUCAGAAGGAACACUUCCAUAAGUUUUUCAGUGUGAGUACCAAGUCCCACUAGUAAAAUUAUCAGGUCUUGCACUCCUGUCAAGAGAAGAAGACCAUUUGAGAGAUUUCUUUCUGAUGACACUUUUGGUGAAACCUUAUUGUAGGCUGCUAGCAUGGCUGGCUGGCUCCCAGAUCAAAACGAAAAGAAGUACCCAAAAACGAGCCAUGUUGGCUUUGGCCUUGUUCUUGGGUUAGAUGGCAAGCGUUUCCAAACUCGUUGCUCUGAAGUAGUUCGACUGGUAGAUCUACUUGAUGAAGCUAAAUCUUGGUGCAAAGAACUUACUGAACGCCUUACAAAAAAUGGUACUUAAUAUUCUGCUUUUGAGUCGUCUUGAAUUUUUUUUUUGGAAAAUUAUCUUUCUCUGUCUUCACAUAACACGACGAUGGUUUUGCUCAGGUAAAAUUGCUGGCUGGACAGAUGAUGAGCUAGAUACAACUUCGGAGGCUAUAGGAUUAGGCGCUGUUAAGUAAGUCUGAAUUCUCUUUCUCUCACCUAUAUUAAGCUUAAACUGCAGGCAAUAUAUCUUUUCAUUGAUGUGAUUAUUUUGAACCUUUUGGAAAUUAAAUAAGAAAACAUUAUCUUUAUAUAUCGCAAACAGAAUUUCUAUUGUUGAUGAGACUUGUCCCCAGUAGCCUAUGUACAUCUUUAGGUGUAUUUGUGGACUUUAAAACUAACAAUCUCCUUUUAAUUCUUCAAUCUAUUUUAGUGAUGAGGCUUGAACCUACAUUGCAGUAAUGGAAAUGUCAAGUUGUGUUUUCAUCAGACUGGAAUGAAUGUGAUGUUCAUUAUUCUUUUAUCUCUUAUCUCUUGAAAUUCAGGUAUGCAGAUCUUAAAAACAACCGGCUAACAGACUACACAUUUAGUUACGAGAAGAUGCUAAGCGACAAGGUACAUUCAUGCAUUUUCAUAUCUUUUGACCUCAUAAAAAAACCACAACUUUUCGAUGAUGAUCACACCAUAUGAUUUGAUGAGCAGGGAAAUACCGCUGUCUACCUUCAGUACGCACAUGCUCCUAUCUGUUCCAUUAAGCCAACAAGGAUAUUGAAGAGUUGAAAACGGUGAGCCUUUCCUUGUACUUCGAACCAACAAAACGACAUGUCCUCGAUCACAACAUCAAGCGAUUGCUGAUAGCUGUUUCUCUCUCAUUUCGAGUUUCAGAAUGCGGCCAUUACCUUUGUCCAUGCUGAUGAGCGUGCCUUAGGAUUGCAUCUAAUCCGGUUCCAAGAGGUACAUGUUGGGAGUUAUUAAUCGAAUUUCGCUUCAUUAGCUGAAUCUGUCUAUGAGCUGUGAUUUAGAAUUUCUAUGAGCAGCAGCCCAAGACACCUACUUCUGAAGUAGUUCUAGGAACUAGGAAGCACAAAUCAUAAACGUGAUACCUUGUGUUGUUUAGGUUGUUGAGCAGGCCUGCACCGAUCUAUUUCCACAUUAUUUGUGCGACUACUUGUACUGCUUAUCUGAAGCAUUCUCAAAGUUCUACGCCAGUUGCCAGGUAGCAUUUUACUUCUAUCAGUUCUCUCGGAUCACCUCAUGUUUCUGAACCUUUUCAGUUCUGCACAAGAUCUUAAUACAACUGAUAGUUUCCCGUUGUGUCGAUUCUGCAAGUGGUCGGAUCACCUGAAGAAACGAGCCGUCUGUUGCUUUGCCACGCGACGGCCGUCGUCAUGCAGCAGUGUUUCAACCUGCUGGGCAUCACUCCAGUCUACAAGCUAUAAGUAACUGUCAAUUUACAUAACACAUUACUCUGUUGCCACUAUUGAUCUUGUAGCAUAUAUCCUCUGAACAAAGAGAAUUAGGAAGCUUAUGGGAAAAAAGAAUAAUGUAAAUCAUUCCCACAAAAAAAUAAAUUGUAAAGCUUUUUUUUGUUUAUGGGGAAAAAAGAUUAAUGUAAAUCAUCCCCACAAAAAAAAUUGUAAAGGUGGUUGUUUUUUCUUCUCCUUUGGUCCUUAUACGUGUAUGUGAUUUUGCAUGACGUGCACUUUUCUAGACAACGAUAGAAUUAUAGAAACAAUUCAGGCAGUUGUUAGUUGCAACAGAGAAGGAUAGGAAUGUCAAGGGUUAUAGGCAUAAGCCAGGGACUCUACACACACAUGGGGUUAUGCAGUAUACAGUUGAGAACUUCAGUAAAGGCUGCAGCCAUGUCCCAUGUGUAUAAAAAAGAACGACGCGUACAGGUGACAGAUAAAAACAGGAGCACACAGGUUUCCUCUUCUUUUACCCCACCGUUUAUAUAGGGGCAUCCAACUCAAGUGCCUCUGGUUGUCAAAUGUCUCAUCCUUUCCUCACAUUAGCUUCAUCAUAGGUAAAGUAGACAUAAGGUAAAACGAAGAUAGCAAUAUAGUUCUAAUCUUGUAAAUGAAGCCUCAGCCUUCUCCAUAAGUUUUGCUACUGCCUAGCCCUCUUGGAGCUGCAGCUCGGGCACUUGUAGUGUUUUAUGCUUUCCGCCUUGGCGGGGGUUAUCUUGACGCACUUGCCAUGGUACCACCUCUCGCAGAUGUCGCAACCAAUCCAAAACUCAUCUGCGCUGUAUAUCCCACCGCAGGUUCCACAUAGGGUUUCACCGUGAUCGCUGUCAUCUUCGCCGUAUGCUUCGUCUGUUGCUUUUUCGUUAUUUUCUAUCUGUGGGUCAUGUGUUUGCUGCGGAAUGAGAAUGAAUUGAAUGCAGAGGAAAAGAAUGGUAGCAGCAAUAAAAAAAAAUAUAUCGUUUACCUUUACUGAGGGCUUGGCCCUCCCACCAUUGUCCAUACUGGACCUCUCCUUAGAUUGUCUCGCACCAGAGACAACUUCAAAAACAGUUGGCAAUUCGUUAAUCAUACCAAAUAAACGCUUCCUAUUGGAUGACAGUGAAGACAGUUACAUAUCAGCAACAUAGGUCAUCUUAUGAAAAGAGAAAAUGAAACAAACUAAUGGGAAUGCACCAUAUCUAUCCUUUACAUAAAAAAUAAUUAUUCAAAAACUAUGUUUACAAUACUCAGAUCACGGUGAUAGUAUUACCAACAUAAAAAGAAGAGACACAGUAGAACUGGGAAAAAAAAGCAGACUAUUGCCAGUCCCAAUCCACAAAAGCAAGGCAUAGGAAGGCCUAAUCUGAGGUGCUACCUUUGGUGCAACAGGAACAAAAAAUUCCAUGCUAGUGUGGGUUCAAGUUGAUUUAAGAUGAUUGAUUGACAAGAAUAAAUAAUAAGAACUCUCCUAUAUGAGUAAUGCCUGAAAAAAAGAACUGCAGAUUGCAGAAAAAUACCAUGCACAUGUCUAUUAGUACACUCAUAAUUUCUUAUGGAAAUUAAUACAGAAACAAAAAGCGCCAACACUGUAAACAUAACUUGAGAACUUCAUAUCCAUAAAAUCAAGGAUACAGAAGUUAUAUAAGAUAACAGGUCAUGAAUGUCAGAUAUGUGCUCUUUAUGUUAUGUUUCCACAAACCUCUUGACCCAUGUUUACUUUUCAGUACAAUAAUUAACUGCACCCUAUGCUCUCCAUAGCACAGCAGCAUUGCAUAUAUUUUACCCUUCAGAUCAUGGAAAAUCGUAUUCUAUUUUAGUUUGUAUUGAUGAAAUAUAACUUUCAAUAAAUCACACUUUAAUUUGUUGGUUCUCUAAGCAAAAAAUAAAAAGAAAAUAAUAUGCACAAGAGGUGUUAUGGAACCAGGGGUUAUGAAACUGGGGCUAUUCACUGUUUUGAACUUCAAAUAUCUAAGAAAAUUCAAGUUCCUCUACAAGAUGUAGAGUUGCAGGUGUUUCAGAAUACGAGGGGGAUUUGCUUCCACGAAUUGGGUUGGGUGUAGAAAAGGGAGAUGUUGAAAAGAUAACUGAGAAUAUUGAAAAGAUAACUGAGAAUAUCAGCAUCAGUGCAAAUUCUGUAACUACAAUUGGCACUAAAAGUCCUGAUUCUCCAGAUCCAUAACAAGAGGCUCAGGCUCUCAGCAUGAAAUGCCUUCAAUUAACAAAAAGGCAGGAAUUUCCUUACAGUAGAUGGUAACCUUUAACUGUUUGGAGUAUCUAGGAGACCAAGACACCACUAAUUAACUGACCUCAUAAAAUGUUUCAAACAGCUCACACAAAAUAUCAAUGCACAAGUGAAAAACUAGUCAGAUUCCCAGCUUCAACCAAAUAUUACUUUUCCCUGGGCACAGGGCCUUUUGAAAGUUGGCAUGACAUAAACAUUGAAGCCAGCCUUCAACUAGCACAAGUCCACACUGGGAGUCUGGGGCCACUGUUUACAAAAAUAGAGCAUAGAAACACAGAUGCAUGUCAAGAUGUUGAUCCGAAAAAGUAACAAGACUUCAGUAUAAGCAUGUGGCAACCAGAAUUCAAGACUCAGUCACAGCUCACUAUCAUCACAGAAAGCCAUGAAAGUCUGCUUUCUCCAACAACUCACGGUAAACAACCAAACUUAUCAUGAGUCUGCUUUGUUAUGUACCUGUGUAAGUCUCUGUAGUUGUGUUUCUUUAGAAAGCAAGCACCCCCAACUACCCAAGACUUUGAAAUUUGGACCAAACUUAAACUAUCACAGAAUACAUUAACAGCAGUGCGCUUUGCGUCAGAACUACUGCUAAGAGAGUCAAUUAACUUUACCAUCUCCACUUCAGUGCACAAGUUGAAAAUCCUCUUGAGGAAGGAAACAUCUACCAAAACUAUGGAUCCUAGCAACACCGUAGGCAACCAAGAAUGGCAUCUCCUUGUGAUCAAAACCAUCUCGCUAUGAGAUCAACAAACUGGCAACAUGCUCCAAAAUCCCAGCUCGUCCAUUGUGAAAUUGCGCAUGGAACAGUUGUCCGAAGCCUUAUAAAAAAUCGGACGGACACGUGGCAUUAUUUGCUCCACAAGUUUCCACCGCAAUUUCUGUUCUUUCCUGCUCCACACCGCACACGCCUCAUCUCUCUCCGAGCUCUCCCUCUCCCUCACGGCUGUGACAAGGAUCCGCAUCAUGGCCGCUGGCCGCUGAUCAGCUCCUCUCGCGCUGGCCACCGCUCUGCUUCCUGCUCAUGCUCCCUCACCGCCGCAAGUCCCUACCCCGUCGCCAGCGGCCGGCACAGCCACACCUCCUUGCUCCCUUCAAUUUUGCCGUUUGGGACUGGGAGGACCACACCAUUGACCUCCCCGGAAGCACAUGCCCCUCGUCUUCAGCUCCGUCGCCUGCAAGCGCCACUCCAUGUUUGUUGCUGCUGUCCAAGUGAGCACAGGGAGAACCACAUCUUCCGGUGAUGUUGCAGAAUUUGGGAUUUUUUGGAUGUUGCAAUUGAAGAUUCUAAGUGUUGCAUUAAGUGAGUUUUGAUGUUGCAAUCUCUUUUUGAUGUUGCAGUCUCUUUUUGGUGUUGCAGCCUUUGUGUUUGGAUGUUCCAUUAGUUUUUGACGUUUUUAAAUGUUGCGCCAAGUGAAUUUAGAUGCUGGGAUUACCUUUUUUGCAAUGUCACAGUCAGCGAAUUUGGACAUUGUUAUUAGCAUUUCCAUGUUGCAGCAAGCGAUUUUACAUGUUGCAAUUACAUUAUUUUCGUGUUGUGGUCUUUGUAGGGGUUUUUUUUUGGCAACAAUAUGUUGGGGACGAGAGACAUAUGCUUGAUCUUCAGUAGUGGGAACUCGAUUCUUUGGAGGAGACACUCACAUGUUUCAGCUGAUUUUGCUCCUAAGCAUGUUUUGGUGGGAGUUAUGGAGGAAACGACACACCUUGAACUCAUGUGGCAGAUGACCAUGGCGAUGAAAAAGCUGGAGGAAAAGGUCAUGUUGCAUGCGACGUGAAUGUUGUGGUGGGAAGUUUUAUUUCUAUCCAACAGUCAAUACAGUUCCAAUCAUACGGACACCCCACCGUCCAACACCAGCGCCCGGAUCGGACGUCCAGGCGCUAGCAGCUCCCUUUUUUUAAUAUAUAAAAGAGGGGAAACAGCCUAGGCUUCUGAAAUUUCCAUCACCGGAUCACGCAAGCACAAGCAUCAAAUCCCGACAGAAACACCAACAAGUAAGACAGUGGGGAUUGCUUGGGGGGGGGGGGGGGCGAGUUCACUGACCGUGGGUGAGGGCGCGGAGGAUGGCGGAGCGGCGGGCGCGGUAGUCCUUGAAGAUGUCCUCGGCAGAGCGGGGAGGGUAGACGACGUGGCCGCGGCCGGCGGCGGCGUCCCCCAUGGAGGGUGGCGGCGAGGCUUCCUCUCGUGAUCUCCGGCGAGGUGGUGGGUGAGGUGGCGGUGGCGGUUCGCGGAAGAAGUCGAGUCACUGGUGCGGGGGCGAAGGUGAGGCGAGACGGUCAGAUGGGAUGGGCCGAUGGGCGCAUGGGGGCCAGAGCCGAGCCGAUCUGGAGCGCCGGACACGCGAGGAAAGGUUGAUAAAGAAAUGGAUUUUAAUCCAGAAAAUACUAGAUUUUAUGUCUAGGAAUGGAUUUAUAUAUCUAAAAAAUGCGUGCCUCGAAAUUUAUGAAAUUCACUUUGAAUAAAUUUAUGCAACUGUAAAGAGAUACCUUGAAAGUUUGAACUCGAUUUGUAGCACAAGUUCUACUAGUCCUACUGUCCUAGAGAUGAACAUUUUCAGCCAAAUACAAAUCACGCAAAAGAAGGAAAAAAAAAAAGAGCAUACUAUGACAAUCAUGCAACGCUGGCUGCACGAAAUGCACGAAUGCAGUUGGCUAAAGGAUGCUCCGAGUCCGAGUAAUUCACAGAUUCUUACCAGAUAGGAUCAUAGAAGUGAUAAAGUAUAUAUUGAUUGUAUCAUUUGUUCAUUUACAACAAAUACAUGCUCGCAAAAAAAAAUAACAAUACACGAUGUAAACAGUUGCCAAUCAAUUUAUAAUGACACAAGUGAGAAACAAAUCGGUGACAUCUUUCACUACCCUCCAAGUUCAAUCCAUCAGAACUGAACUGCCAUUUAUUGAUCCACAUCUCGAUAAUGAUUACUUGGUGAAAAAUAACUAUGAUCUUUUUUCUACAACAUUGCACCCCUCGGAUGCCUUCGACUGGUCCUCUGCUCUUCCAUUUCAUUCAUCCAGUCAGAAAGCCGGAAUAUACCCUUCCACAAUAGGUACAAUCCAGCAGCGAUAAUCAUCGAUAGAAAAAUAAUCAGCAGCACUCUCAGCACGUAGGUCUUGACUUCCUGCAACAUAUAAAUUUGUCAUAAGGAGCACUUUUUUCCUCAAUGAAAGCAGCACAUUUGUAUUGUAUAGUACACACCUGGAAUUUUGAUACUUCAACCUCUUGUCCACGAUCACGCCGCUUCCUGCGUUUGGGCACAUUUGCAACUUCCAUAGCGGGAAUCUAUAAGGAAAACACAGGAAAUGAGCGAAAAAGCACCAAUAGCUACAAAUUUGAUUGCUUGAUGGCAAAAACAUUGCAAAAAAUGACAGAAUUAAGAUAUAAAAGGUUCUGUAUUUAAAGGUGUAGCAUUUAGUACCUUGUUCUCCUGGGUUUUCCGGAGAUGCAACUCGGAAUCUUGCACCUUCACCUUCUUCUUGCAGUCUUCACCACAGGCAAGUAAGCCAGCUCCAAACUGACUUUUGGGCACUUCUUUUGGAUCACGACCAGAAUUGCGGUAUUCCUUAAGGACAUCUUGGCAUAUCCACUCUUGCUUCAGCGUGUUGCAUGCACAACGGACAUUGACCUUGAUAGAUAGAAUGAGAUACCAUAGAGUGAGUAUGAUAAGUAUGAUUAAACAAAUAUAAUUUAACCGCAGGUUCAAACUGUAAACAAACUUUGUGCUAAAUAGAACUUCUCACUGGACUACAGUUCCAGCAGAUAAGCAUUGUAGCAUCACAGAUUAAGCACUUUGUACCAAUUGACAUUACUGCUAGUCGUUCCACACUAAACACUCUGAAAGUCUGAAUAUGUAUGUUGAGAGACUCAAACCAUACCUUUUUCAUGCACUGAUCAACCGAUGGGCAUGUACCAGGGUGACAUACUUCUGAGCACAGAUGGGAACAAUUUGGUAGUUUCCUGUUCAAAAAAUAUGUUCAAAUACUUGAUACAAUAUAAACAAAGUUAUGGAAAUUUGUGUUCAAGAUUAGUAACAACAGAGUAGUUCACCAACUUCAAAACAGAAAUAGUAAGGAGCCAAGAAGAGAUUUAGCGACUGACCUAUGACAUGGGCCGCCACACGACCUCACUUUAACCUGUUCUUUAGCUUUUAAGUUGUUAAAAUACACACACUCGAAAGCAUGUACCAUAGCACCACAAUGGCAUGGUUUUUUAACAAGGACUUUGCAAGGUGGACAAUCGCUCGGAUGGCAUCGCAAAGGGCAACGAUGUGAACAAGAAGGCUCCCUAACCUGAAACAAAACAUUAGAGUCAAUAUCCUGCACCAAGCUUAAAAGGCAUACGGAAAUGCAGUAGCUUCUUCACAUUAAGCUUUGUAAAACAAACUAAAGUAAUGUUGUUUUACAUGAAAGAGAGUAACAAACCCUUUGACAAGGAAGGUUGCAUUGUUCACAAGGCUCAGCAAGUGUGCUCUCUUUACUGACAGAUGGUAGAGGAUCUCCUUCAGGUUGAUUCAAUGGGACCUCUAACACAUGGCAAGAUUUCGUACAAUAAUGGUUGCCACAAAGAAGAGGAUUCCCACAUAAAUUUUGACAGGGAAACGGCCUCCAUUUGGAACAAGGCAUCUGCAAGAAACAGAAAUGAAGUGUGUGUUUUCUGUAUUCUGGUUUGCAAGCAGUCAUCUGUGUGCACCACACAACAGAGGAAAAGGGGGGGCAGUAAUAAAUCAACCAAAAGACUACAGUAUUAACAAAAACUUACAGCGCGUUCUUGGCCAAGAUGUUGCCCAAAGCAUGGCACUACAACCACCUCUUUGCAUGGUGGGCACAGUGUUCCAGGUGUACAUUCUAUGUGCUUUUCCAUUUUCUUUUUUGUUGGUUUUAGUGUGAACUCGGGGUUUGGAGGAGAAAUAGGGCCAUGACACCUGUGUAGUAUGUGAAAAUUGUCAAGGCAUCAGAGGAAGUGAAAGUACGAGCACCAUUCAAUGGCACAUCCAUUGUAGGUGAAAGUGAAACACAUACCUUUCUUUACAUAUGUGGCCACAGGAAAGUUCUUCACCACAGGUCAGCUUGCAAGGUGGGCAGGCUCCAUAGUGGCAUUUGUGGGGCUAAGGGAAGGAAUCAAAUAUCACAUCAAUUCUGAGAACCCAUUUGUAACAGCAAAAGCACCCAAACCUACUAUUACAAUUAUAAAUUGCAUACAAAGACAGUGCCAAACAACUGAAAUAAAGAUAUCUAGACUUUAUCACAUGAAACCAAUGUGUAUAUAUUAUGGUUAUACCCGUAGAAGAAGACAGAAGAUUACCCGACAUUCAAGCUUGUGCCUGCAAAGGCGAGGUAUGUUGCAUUUCUUUGAGCAUUUCUGUGGUUUCUGAUUCUUUUCAGUCCCACAAGGAACCUGCAAUAGAAUUUGCUUAUUAGUCUCGGUAAUAAAACUUAGCAACAAUGGUACAACUACUUAACACGAUAUACAGAAGUUGAAACAGGAGACACUUCUGAAGUUUUAUUCAUUUCCUUUUUAAUGAGUAAUUUGUGUGCGAUGGGCCUAUAAAAAAUUUUUAGCAAACAACCUUAUCCAAUGAAGCAGACAGCAGAAACAUAAGUUAUUCAAAGGAAAUGAAUGACAGAACUGAGAGUCUACCGAGUUCAACCUCAAAGCAUGUUUUCCCACAGGCGCAUGAAAUGGUCUUCAUCAGAGGACAAGGUGAACAAGCACCUCUGCCAAACAACAAGCUAGACGUUACUAUCUGUCAGCACAUAUAUGGCAGAUUCGACAUUUUGGCAAAGUGUGUUGUGCAAGUACAUGGCUCAAAAUGUAAAUUGAUUUGGGGUUCAGAAAGUACCUGUGGCAUGGUGAAAGGCAUUUAUGGUUCCCACAUCUGAGCUUCCUAUCACAAGUCUACAAAAAGAUAUAUCUUUCUUUUAGUGCAUGAUAGAUCUAAUACCAUAGCAAAAGGGAGAAAAAAAAGAUGCACCUCAGAGCAGGGUGGGCAAUCGCCAGCACAGCAACGUCGUUUACAAGCAUGGCGGCCACAGUUUCGCAAACGUUGGCAUUUCCUUUCACAUGUCAAUUCUUGGUAGCAUGGCACCUGAUCAGUGCAUCACAUGAACAAGAGAGCUUAAGAACUUGCAUCCGAGUACUUCACUAAUUAAUAGCAUAGAAGUAUCACGAGCUAUAAAAUUCAAUAUUAGAGGAAUUGCUUGUUGCACAACAUACUUGACCAAUUUGAGGACAGUGGAAAAUAAGAAGUCACUACUUAACUAACUGUUACUCUGUUAGGUCAUUUGCAUAUAAAAGUGUAAAAAAUAAAACUCUGCCAUCCAAACGAAUUUAAAGCACAGAGGCAUCCAAACAUCCAAUUGUAUUAUGAGAACUGAUGCUAGUAAUGUCUCUAAGCACUAUCACUUGAUUUUUGUAUUAUGAGAACUGAUGCUAGUAAUGUCUCUAAAUUGAGUUUUGCAUUUUUUAUGGUUUGAUCCUUCACAAACAUGCUGUAUAAGAUCAAGAUACAUACCUCCUUCUUCAGACCCCCACAACGGCAGGACUUUGUGAUCACAAGCCGACAAGUCUCAUCACAAGGACCACGAUGGCAGCGCUCAGGGCACCUGUGUCGUCCGCAACCAAGCACCUUCUCGCAAGUAGACCCACAUGUGGCAGCCUCUGCAUCACACUCCAACUUCGGAUAAUCUUUCUUCCCACACGGGCAAGUGCGCCGACCUCGGAGUGGGCAUUCCCCACACUUACCCCCAUGGCACCCCCUCUCACACUUAUGCUUCCUGCAAUCUAACAUCCCACCACACUCCCUCUUGCACUGGAAAACCCUUUCAGAGCACAAUUUCUCCUCCAUUGUCUCUCCACACUCACAUUUGUGUUUCCCCCGCACUGCACACGGCGGGCAGGGCCCAUCAUGGCAAUUCACCGGACACCGGUGGAGUCCACAGCUAAGACGUUUGUUACAUUUCCCUGCACAAGAGUAACGCUGAUGUGCGCAGCGUCGAGGCUCCCAGUGUGCCCCACAAAAGCACGGCGCAUUUGGCACAACAGCCGGGCAUGGUGGACACGGCCCUGGGUGGCACAGCAGUAGGCAGGUGUGUUCACAGCCGGAGUCGAGAUUUGCAUUGAGGCGGCGACCGCAAACAUCGCCGCAGGAGUGGGGGAGGAUCCAGGGGUCCGGAGCCGGGUCUGCAGUCUUGGAGCAGAAGCAGAGGUAGGAGGUGGGGGUCUGGGACUUGGGGUAGGCGAAGCGGCACUUGGGGCAGCCCCAGGUUGGGCACGGCACGGCAGCGCCGGAGGCUGACUGGUGGGCCCAUGACUGGAUGCAGGGGAGGUGGAGGAUGGCAAAGCAGGAGGAGGAGCAUGACCAGACUGGAUCGGAGGGGCGGAUGGGGUCGAAGCAGAUCAGGCACGGCGGCGAUCGGCGGCGCGCGGCGGAGGAGAGGAAAAUGCCGACCUUCGAGAGGUCGGCCCCCUCGCCGGCGACCGAGAGGUAGGCGGAGACGACGGAGGCGGUCGCCGAGUCGGAGGCCGUGAGAUCAGCCUCAUCCCCCGAGGAGGACGAGUAGGAGGAGGGAUCGGAGUCAGAGACCGCGGUAGGGUUCGCCGCCGGUGGCGCGGGUGCCGGCGACGGCGAGGGUGCUGGUGGGCGUGGGCGAGCAGUGGCUGCGGCGGCGGUGGAGGUGAGGUUCGGUUUGCGGGAAGAUGAUCCGGCCGCGGCGGCGGUGGGGACGCGGUUUGUCUUGCGGGAAGAGGAUCCGGCCGCGGCGGCAGCGUAGGAGGACGGCAUGGCCGGCGGCGUGGUCGUCGCCGGAGACGGUGGUGGCGGCGAGCGCGAGAUAUGUUUUGUUUUUUUUUUUUUGAGGGGGACGAGCGCGAGAUAUGUGAGCAGUGGCCUUUUUGCAGGUCGAUCCAGUGAUCCACGAUAUUUUCCUUCUCUUUUUUAUAAAUUGGGCCGGAUGUUUUGUGCUUUCUUCAUAUACUUGGGCUUUGGGUUCAUCUGGCUAUGCCCCCCAAAAAAAACAGCAGGUCAACAGCCCACAGAAGUAGUCCUGGGCCGAGGUUUUGCAAUUUGUUGUUUUGUUCCGUUCUGGGCUUAGUUGAAUUCUUAUCCAUUUCCCUAUACACAAUUUGGUUUUCAGUUCUUCCCUUCUUGGCGAAUGCUCGCAAUUUGCUUUUUUUCAAAAAAAAUCUCUGGUAAUUUACAUGAUUUUAGUCCGAAAGUACGUUUCCAACUAAGCACAAACCGGAAUAUGUAGUCGUAGUGGAAACUGGAAACUAAUACUUUUGAGCUUUAACCAACUGCACAAACAGCAAGAGUGGUCUUUGACUCUUUGAUCAAUUCAGCCGUCACUUUUAUGGCAUGAUAGGAGACUAAGGAAAGAAUUAGAGUUUUAAGCAUUGUUUGAGACGAGAUUUUUGUUUGGGUAAUUCGGGCAUUACUGCAGUGAAAAAUCUUAUACGGAGUACUUGGAUCUUUAGUCCGGACUAAAAUUCAUAUCACAUCGAAUAUUGGAAGACUAAUUAGAGGAUUAAACAGGAGCUAAUUAUAAAGCUAAUUACAAUGAGCUAAUUAUAAAACUAAUUACACAGACGGAGGCUAAUUCGCAAGACGAAUUUAUUAAACCUAAUUAAUCCAUCAUUAGCACAUGUUUAUUACAGCAUCAUAUUAUCAAAUAAUGGACUAAUUAGACUUAGACCCCGUUUGGAUCAUUGGAAUUGAAUUCCAUCCUAAUAAUCAUAAUUUAGACACAAAUUAAUUAAGCUAAUAUAAUUAUAUGUGGAAUAUAGUUGUAUAUUAUAGUUGGUGAUAUGGGAGAGAUACUUGUAUACUGCACUUCUACUAUAGAGAAGCGAGUCUAAGAGCGUGCUAUAAGAAUUGAAUUCCAUCUAAUAACCAUAAUCUAUAUAAUCAAUUUCCAUCUCCCACCCCAUGAAUUUAAGAUAGGCUUAUAUCUAAACUUUGGAAAGUUGUGGAAUGACACAUUCCAACAUAAAUUAGCCUACUCCAUUAAAUAGAUUCCAAUUCCUUGAACCCAAACGGGGCCUUAACAAAUUUGUCUCGCCAAUUAACACCCUGCAAUUAACUUUAUAAUUAAUCUAUGUUUAAUACUCCUAAUAUCUGAAUAUCCUAUGUGAGAAAUUUUAGGAGGUUCUGGAACCAAUCACCCCUAAUAUUCCCCUACUCCGGCGACUCUGCUCAAACAAACACCAGUUCUACUACCGUACUACGUACUUCGUAGGUCAUAUACUCCUAAACAAUACGAACACUGACAGCUCAGUACUGGAGAGACAGCGACAUGGUACAGGCGCACACCACACACGCCAACAGAAAACAAAAGGUCAGAGCCUUAUCGCGACAGCUCGUGCUGACCAAAGCAGCGGCGGCGGCCGCUUUGGCGGGGGGAGGAGGUGCAAGCGAGCGCCAGGCCAGCUGCCACGCGCCGUUACGGCUGCUGCGGCGCCGGCGCGGCGGCGUUGCCGGCGUGCCCGUCCUUGCGGCAGCCGAAGUCGUGCACGGCGAGGUGGAUCUCGGCGGCGGCGAGGAGGAAGUGAACGGCUUGCGCGGGGCGGAGCAGCGCCACCACCCCGCGCAUCGUCUCCAGCCGCAGCGCGUCCGCCAUCUCCAGCACGCGCUUCAUCCCGUCCGCCUUCGUCUUCAUCUCCCGCUCCAUCGCAUCCGCGUCCACCCCGCCGCCGCCGCCGGCGAGCUCCAAAAUCUUCGCCGUCGCCAGCGCCUCCUGCACGCCCCUCUCAUCAGCUCACUGAAGAUCUUUUUUUCCGUAAAAAAAUCACCGAAGAAUCGAUUUAUUUGACUCACACCUGUGCGCUCGCGGCGGCGUCCUCGAUCUCGCGCUCUCUCUUGAUGGUGCGGCGUUGCAGCUGGUCGGCGUCCUGGAGCUGCCCGGCGCUGAGGUCGCCGAGGUCGGCCUUGAGGCUGCCGCCGUUGAGGAAGGCGGGGAGCUGGUGCUCGAGCUGCAUACCCGACUUGGUGUACAGCAGGUGGAGCGCGGCGGUGGGGCGCCAGCCGCCGCACCAGAGGAAGAGGUUCUCGGUGGUGGAGGUCCAGGACGGGGUGAACAUGCGGAGCAGGUCAACCGCCGCCGCCGCGGCCUUGGUGCGGUAGUAGUGCUCGUAGUGGCCCAGCACCCGGUCGGCGAGGCGGCGGAGGUCGGCCUCCCGGGUGGGCGGGUCCGCGGACGCCGCGGCGCGGAGCGCGGCGAGGUCGCGGGACUGCUCGGCGAUCCAGGACUCGAAGAACCUGGAGAAGGACUCGUUGGAAGGCGACAACGACGGGAUGCUGCCAUUGCGGCCGCCGUGAGCUUGUGGCGCCGGUGGCGGUGGGGUGGUGGUGGACAUGGCGGUCGUUGUGGUUGUGGGUGUGGUGGGUGUCAAUGUCACGGUGGCUUCGGAGGUAACGAUGGGAGGGGCCCAUUUAUAGAGGUGGCCCAUGUCGGUCAUUGCAUUGGGCCCCAGUGUUCUCCUUUGCCUUUUUUUUUCAAAAUUGAUAUAUGUUUACGGACGCUUUUAAUUCAAGUUAAUUUUUCUUACAAAAUAUACUGUGCUAGCAUAUGUAGCACGAGGUUCUAGGAGAAAUGUUUAUGUGGUCGGCAACGUUCCAUGUAAGCAUGUGGAGGUGGGACCCAGGCAAUCUUGAGCCGGGGCGUCCUAGCUUGGUGCAUCGCCCUUGGGCCGUGGCCUCUUGAUUAUCUAAUCCCGUUGUUCUUUUCUACGUAUGUGUACUGUGUACAAGCCCCGUUUUCCUGGUUAUUUUAUUUGUAAAUUUUUCAACGUAUGACUUUGGCAUCUAGUGACUUUGCCCCUCCUUCCAUGAUAAAACUUUGGUAACCAAUGUUCUUGCAUGAAGUUUCAAAAAUAGCUCGGCGAGACUGGUCUUGAAAACUAAAUCACCAGAGGUUAAAUAGUACAUCUCGGUAAUCAAGUCUGGUGUCAAGAACGACAAUUUCCUUUUCGAACAAGGAGGCUAAAACUAAGCAAAUGGAACAUUGUGUUUGCAGGAACAUUGUGUUUGAGUGCAAGUAACUAGUCAUGAAAAAAAUGGCCAUACCUACCAUGAAAAAAAAAUGGCUAAACUAACGGUAAUGCUUCCGUGAGAACGUCCGAUCUAGUUAAAAAAUAUCGGACACCAGUCAACGGGUUAGACUCUUUGUCUCUCCUGCAUCCUUAUCCUCUGCCCCUCCUCCUUCGACCACCUAUUCAGCCAUUCCCCUCCCUUCUCUCUUUCUCUCUCUCGCCUCCACACAUAAAAACUCUCUCUCUAGCAUGCGCACGAGCUCAAACCUGAGCUCUGGUGGUGUGGCCCCUCCGUCGCGGCGUCGCGCAUGGUCCUCCUUCGAGCGAGGUCGGUUGUAGCUCAGCCCUUCCCAGUAUGAAGCUGUCGAUAGCGCGGCAACUGUCCAUGUGUGAGGGUCCUAGAGCUCGUCCAUGGCAUCAAUGGCAUCUCCAUGAUUCCACAGUGGUGAUGGCCUGCCCCGACGAGGAUCUUUUCUAUGGCAUUGAGUUCCUCUAUGAUGAGCACGACCUUAUUGUGGGCAAACUACUACAUGGCAACUGGUGAGUGCAGAGGCGCGCGAUUUGGAGCCGUCGGUGCUCCGUUCCAGCAAGGAGGCCAUCACGUCUCGAUUCAUUGGUAGGCAUGUUGCGGGUAUUUAUUGAAAUUGUUUCAAAAACAUUUUUUUCAUGUUGCAGCCUUGCAGGUGUUUUUCACCUAAUCUUUUACAGAAAUGUGUAAUGUUGCAAUAGUUCGUUUGAUUUGUUGUGAGAUACCUUUGAAAAUGUUGCAAUCACUUGAUUUACUUGUACAUUUACUUUAGAUGUCUAUGUAUCUUUUUUUUAAUCAUCUCCCGAUUAUCUUUUUUUUUAGUUCGCACCGCUCUUUCUCUCUAAAUUGCAUCAAAGAAAAUAGAGAGAGAGCAGAUGGAUCCUAUCCCCUAUGAUAAAUUUCAUCUUUUUACGGCAAAUAAAAUGCCUUCUCGAUCAUGGUCCCCAGCGGCAACUCCCCCGAACCAUAUGUAAGCAGCCUCGUACGGCUCUUCCUAAGAAGGUCGAAGCCCCUCUCUACAUAAAGAAAGGGGUCCAUGUAGCUGCUGCGCCCGCCCACUGAGCAGCAGGUUCGAUCCUGGCCGGGGAUCCCGGUAUACUGUACUAAUAUGUGUAGGUCCCUAUAAUUUGAGUGAAAUUGUCAUGACGUAAAAGGCAUAACAUGAUCGCAGACAUUGUCUGCUUGCAGAUAACUUCACUAAAUUUAUAUAAAUAGUUCUCUCUCUGUUAGGAUCUUCCUUUGGGACCAAUGGUAUUGGACAUACAAUCAGGUACACUGCAUGACAUCGCAACAAUAAAAAUAGGAACUCUGAGUGCACAUUUCAGAAAACAAAAUCAAGAGUAAACACAUACAAGGUCUAUAUAAACAGACAGCACAAUCAAAAAAUUCUAUGAGCACAGGCAGAUUUAGCUGUUCCCUUUUCCCAAUGGAUAUUAUUUUAAGCACGAAAAGAAGAAAAGAAAAAAAAGGUGCGAAGUGUUGCAACAACUAUUUUCAUAUGUUUCAAUAACUGCUUUUAGAUGUUUCGGUCAGUAUUUGUAUACUCCCUCCAUAUAGGAAAAGGGAGUUGUUUUGGACAGCGACACGGUCUUCAAAGCAUUACUUUGACUCCUUGUUUUUAUAAAAAUAUUUAUCCAAAAGUGAUAUAUGUAUAUAUUUUAUGAAAGUAUUUUUCAAGACAAAUCUAUUUAUAUGUCUUUCACAUUUUCAAACUCAACAACUUAAAAAUUAUUCAUGAUUUAUAUUUUCAAUGUUUGAUCCAAACCUUGUCCAAAACAACUUUCUUUUCCUAUACAGAGGGAGUACGUUGUUGUAGUUUCUUUUCAGUUUGUUGUAGAGGUUGCAGGAUGUUGCAAAAAAUUUCAUUUGUUGUUCUCCCAUCAAAUCGUUGCCCACGUUGGUUGGGGCAGACGUAGUCUGUAAGAUAUGAAUGUUACGCGGUCUGUCGAUCGAUCCCUCGUCACGUGGGGCAGUGGGGGUUCUAAACUCAACUGGAUACGGGGUCCACUUGUGCACCUUCCCACUAGCGAAAAUCCGAAAUAAAGCCAUUUUUUAUUAGAAAAGAUUAUAAAGCGAUAAAAAUCGUCAACUUGGGAGCGAUCGGAUAGCUCGGAUUCCAGGGAUGGAAAAAGGUGUAAAAUAUUUUUCUCGCCGGCACGGCACGCGCUGUUCCCCGGCACAGAGGCAAGCAAUGCAGGUGCCGUGCAGAGCAGAUGGAGUUGUUGGAGGGAGGAAGAUCCACUUGCGGCCGCAGGUGAGGUGAGCUGCACUUGCGAGCUGCUCCGUUCCUGUCUUGGGAGCGAAGAAAGAAAAAUAGGAGAGGAUCAGAUGAAUCAGCAGCCGCAAGUCUGCCUGCAUGGGCCGAUGCCGCGGCAGGUUCCGGCCCCCGGUUUUGGCUUUCCACCUUCGGGGCUGGUGUGUGGUGUGUGGGUGGGUUCGCGAAGCAGCUGCAGGCUGCAGGCUGCAGCCCGGCCUGCGGCCACACCACCACAGCCGCGUUCGCAGGGAGGAGCGGUCAGCACCACCUCACGUGUAUUUCCUCUGCCGGAUAUGGAUGGAUUGCGGCGUUCCCCACUUGCUACUGACAUGGAAACAAGGGCCCCGGUUUCUUCUUCUUCUUCUUCUUUCUUGUUUCGCUCCAGAACACAGCGCCUUGGCGUUUUGUUCGCCGGUGGAGCCGGUCCAGUUUUGGUCGGACCGCGGCGGCUCUGUCGUCGCCGACUCGACGUACUGUGAUCUCCCUUCUUAUCUUCCUGUCCCAGGCCAGGCCAACUCUUAGCUCUACGGGGUUGGCAGCUUCUACCGUUCCACGGAUCGCAGGUGCGUCCUCUCGUCUUCCUCGCUUCCAGUUCCAGAUAGUGACGAUCGCUGGUGCAGCAGUCAUGGCCAACGAGUUCCCAUAUGGUCAGGUCAGCCAUCUUCCAUGCUUAAUAAUCAACUAACUGGUAAUAUGCCGCAAACUCCCACUCUUAUCUUUGUCUUGGUGCCCUUCAAUCCAACCGCGAGAUUUUUUUUUUCGUUGCAGAAUUAAAAGCAACAGCGGAAGACUUGACAUAGUUUUGAACGGCGGAAUUACGCGCGGAAUGGAUACAAUUACCCCAGACCAUACUAUUGGACUAAUGUUGUGCACAUUCGUCAGACCGAUGCUUUGGAGUAGCAAAGAUAGUAUGGUCGGAAAACUGAGUGUUUACAGAGGUGUUGAUGCAAAUUUGCCGUUUUCAGUAUCAAAAGGAUGGCAGGGAUUGAUAAGAUAAGAUAAGAUUAGGCGUAAGAGGAUAGAAAAUGAAUUUCUACUCGGUGUAACGUGCACAGCAUGCCAUGUAAAUGAUAUGUGCACAUAUGGAUAGGUAUAGAUCCGCAACGAACAAUUUAAAAAGCUUCUGGACCUAGUAAUAUAUUUUUCAUGCUGACAAACCUAAGUGGCGUACCCUCGCAAGUUUAGAGGCUGCUUGUGUAUUUUACUCUUUAGCAGACAUUUUUUUUUAUUAUAUAACUUGCGCCUAAACAGCUGCAUCUCAUGCCCCCAAAUUCCACCAAAAAUGGAACUGUCAACCGCCUGAUCUGCAGGUGUUGUAGAACGAAGGAGCAGAUGCGGCUGUUAAGAUGGAUACAGAGCGUGUAGGCCAAGGCAUGAGGGGUGAACAAAUUUUACUCUUCCUAAAUUUGAAUUGUGCUACGUAUUUGAUAUUUAUUAUCUCCGUCCUAAAUUAGAAAUCGUUUUAGUUUUUUUAGUGUAUAGAUAUUUGUAUGCACUUAGAAAAAGCCAAAACGACUUAUAAUUUGAAAUGAAGGGAGUACAACAUGUUGGAAAUAUGCGCCUAAAAUACAAUCCAGAUUUUAUAUGGAGGAAAAAUACAUAGAUAAAAAUGAUGCAAGCAUAUAACACAUGUAAAUAGGCAACAUACUGACUAGAACAGGAUUGCGCAGGGAAAUUACUUAAUGAUUUUGCGCAGAAUAUAGUCGAUCGUGUUGAAGUAGAUGUCACAGAAUCACCAAGCGGUCGCGUGUAGACGUUGCCCAUAAACCUGAUUGCCACCCCAUGCAGGAGUCUCGCGGCAGUGGUUUCGGAGAUCACGCUUUCCUUCAAGUCUGGUACAUGCUGAACUCAAAGGUUGACGAGGCGCAGCAGCAAGAAGUUUAGCAUAGCGAAAAUGGAGUGCUCGAGUUGGGAGGCGAGCAUGUGACAGCGUGCCUCUCAACCAGGAUGUCUCCUAGUGUUAUAGGCUCUCAUAGCGCAUCAAUUCCCCUCAUCAAGCAAUAGAAACUGCCCAUUUGAAUGACAGAAAUUGCUACAAUCAAAUAGCGCACCUUAUUACUGUUUAAAAUGGCAGUUUCAAUCACAUUGAAGCGUCAUUAGGCUCAGCAUAUAAAAAAUAGAACCUGCACAAAUAAUAGCCUCCAUACACGUACGUGUUGUGCUCGUCGCAAGUCACAAGUCAAGCGAAAAUGCGCGCGAGCUGCAUGCGUGUAGCAACAGUCUCCUUCUCUCUCAUUUGCACCUAUUUUGCAUAGAGAGGAGACUCCCAUAUUUAAGCAAGACAACCUUUUCUUAAAUUAACAAUAUAGGACUAAAGGUUGUGCAUACUUUGAAAUUUUUCAGAUUGGACCAGACACAAGCCUAAAUCCACCACAACGUAGGUGCGCAUGAUCUCUACAGAAAGAUGCAAGUGAACCCUCCUCGUGUCAUCCUAACGCCACAUUUCGAGCGCCGAUGCUCGUCAACUGUCCCAAGCCACAAGCCCUCACAGACGGCAUGCCAAAAAUAACCAGUCCGCAAAGGAUUCAAAUCGAAGGUGCAGAUAGCCUUGAAGAGGUAGCAAAAUCUGCCUGUGGUUGUCUGGCUCAAAGUCAGGAACAGCAAUCGCUUACCCAAGAACCAAGAUUGUCCUGCAUGCAGACCUGCACUGAGAGUUUACCACAACAUUUUGGGAUACUGGACCAUGCUGCAACAACCGGUGGCGAUGACAGGGAUAUGUUUCCAGAUGAGUCGACGUACAACUGAAGGGGUGGGCAAUCGAUUUCUAGUCCAUGUUGCCGUAAUGCAACUGCAAGACUUCGAGCAUGGAAAGCUCAUUGCGACCUUCUUGAUUGAUUGAUUUGGAUUUGACAAAUUUUAACUGAACGUCUUGUUUCUUAGUUCUUACACUUCCACAGGUUGUAAAGCUAGUUUUUCUUUGUUUCUUGUUUUGAGAAAGAGGUUGUAGAAUUAGUUAUUGUUGUACCAUGUAAUGUUGGUGCAUAUUUUCCUGGAUCUCGUGGAAAAUUGUUUCUCUCUUUGCAUUUUCAUCGUGUCAAUUUUUGCCAACGAAUGUGCUUCAACAUUGCUCUAGUGAUUAUUCAUGGAACCGGGCAGGUGAACUUUAUCUUCCUGAGAGCAGUCUGAUAAACUAGUGUUUUCACGUUUCUGAAUAAAACCCUGAUAAGAUAAUUAAAUACAACGGGGUACUGAAAUAUACACAACUCAUAUUUGUUAUUUAGUAGAAUUACAUAAAAAUGGAACGACAACAUUACACGACAAUACUCCUAGCAAUUGCAAUGGCAAGGAAGAAACAAUUCAUCCAAAAAAUGGCCAAAGUAAAAGCGAAACGAAAAGACCGACAAGACCUGCAAACAAAAAAAAAGUAUACAAAAAGAUGGCAUGGAUGACGUCAUGGAGACCUCACACUCUCGUCGCCGUCAGCCCGUCACUACAGCCCCCACCACACGCCGGCCAGCGCAAGAAGAGCCGCCGCGAGGCCACCCCUCGUCACCCUCGCCGCGGCGAGCGACGCGGUCGCGUCCGGUGACGCCUCGGCCGCCUCGGGCGAGUCCGCAACCGAUGCCGGCGUCUUGCCCUUCUUCUUGGCCGGCGCGAGCGGCGCGGGCGCGGGGGCCACGGCCGGGCCGAAGAGCUUCGCCGGCAGCAGCACCUUGUUGACCUGGUAGACGACGAGGUUGUCGCCGGAGUAGAGGUCGUUGUCGACCGUGGCGUUGACGACCCCCGUGGAGAUGUUCGCCUGCUGGUUGCCAUCGGAGGUGAUGUUGAGCGGGUACUCCCCCGGCGAGGCGCUGCCGGCCUGCGUCCGGAGCGGGUUGCUGACGGUGUCGAACUGGGACUUGGGGAUGGCGGUGGAGACGACGUGGUACUGGACCAGCGCGUUCUUCUCCUGGUCGGAGAGGGAGUUGAGCGUGCCGGAGGGGAGGGAGGUGAAGGCGUUGUCCGUGGGCGCGAACACCGUCAGCCCGUUGCCGUUGUUCUGGAGCUGGUUGUCGAUCUGCGACGCCAUGCCCGUGGACUUGAGCAGCCGGAUGAAGGUGUUGAACUGCCCGCCCUUGGCAAGAAUGCUGGUGAUGUUGGUCGUCCCGGCCACCGGCGCCGGCGCCGCUGGGGUCGCCGGCGUCGGCGUGGCCGGUGCCGCUGGGGUCGCUGGCGUCGUGGGCGUGGGCGUCGCCGGCGCCGCCGUGGGGCCCUGCUGCGCCGACGCCGUGGCGGCGGCCACGCCGAGCACCACGAGCACGCGCACGAGCCUCCGCAUGGCCUGCAUGGUGAUCGCUACCGCUAGCUAGCGACUGCCUAAGUGCAGUGUGCACCCGACGCGACGCGAUCGCAAGCAAUGCAGUGGAGCUCGAUCAGUGUGGCAGGGAGGCCUGUGACGCGGCCACUUAUAACGAGGUUGGGGGCACACCGGCACAGGGCGCAGGGGCAUGAGAGGAGUGAGCUGUAAGAGAGGUGGUGGGGGUAAGUCAGAUACAGUUACGGGGCACCAAACGGGUGAGGUGAGCUGCCGAGGUGGAACAGCCUAACAGCCGGGGUUGCUUCAAGCUGCAGCGAGCCAGCAAGUGCAGUGGGGAUGGAGUGAGUCACAGGAGGGGGCUCAGGUUUUUUCCUCCUCUUUCUGACCAUCACAAGGUGGAAAUGAUGGUGAUUUGCUUGGUGCGAAGAGGGUUAGUGUGAGGACUGAUUAGCUGCAGCGAUCUUGCCAAUUUAACGGAACUUGGAACGGGACAAAUGAAUGAAAUGGCGCAUCAAUUGCCGCGCCAUUUUUUUUUUGAUGUUUGGCUCUUUGCCGGGCGAAUAGCAAGGAUGAUUUGUAAUUUGGGUCUUGUUUAGUUGCCUAACUUUGGGAUGUCCAAAAUACUGUAGCAACACUGUAGCGUUUCGUUUGUAUUUGUGAAUUAUUGUCCAAAUAUUAACUAAUUAGGCUCAAAAGAUUCGUCUCGCAAAGUACAACAAAACUGUACAAUUAGUUUUUGAUUUUGUCUACAUUUAGUACUCCAUGCAUGUACCGCAAGUUUGAUGUGAUGGGGAAUCUUCUUUUUGCAUAGUGUCAAAGUUGGGAUUUGGAGGUGAACUAAACAAAGCCUUGGUAGAAUUUGUUAUUGGACAACUCGAAUCGAUAGGUGAUUUACAGUUCUGGAAAAUGAAGUAGGUACUCGGGUACAGUACUAGGUGCAAGGUUUCACAGUUGACUGUCCACUAGCACUUCAGCAACCAUGCUGUUACGUUGGAUGAAAAUAACUAGGAUGAUCCAAUACUCCGUGAUCAAUCCAAUUAUCCUAAUGGAUCCAUAGAGAGAGGAAGUGCAGAUCAGGAUCUACCAAGGCUCCUCUGCUCUGUUCCUCACCACAAAGACACUCUGUCCAGUGGUGUCACCAAAUCAGAUCGCCAGGGAAUAUUUCAGGGACAAAAGUAAACGAGCAGCUGGUGCAUUUCUUUCAUCAUGAAUAGCCGGUGCAUCUAACGCAUGAUCUCCAGAGGGCAGGAAAAUGGUCCAAUAAUUCUCCCAGCUCGGCAACAAACAAAAACGACUACGAUCGAGUUGCCAUCGUGCACGGCAGGUUCCGGUGUGCUCCGGCCUGCUACGACGCUAACACCCGAUCCAACCGUCUCCAUCAGCACGGUGGCGCAUCCAUGUACAUGCACAAUUGCACAGUUUCUGAUGGCAAAGAGCAGAGAGGAGUUCUCAGCCUAAAAUGCUAAUGACCAGCAGAGUUGCAGCUUAAACAUCUCAGCUAACAUUUUAAAACAGCUUGUAACCGAAGUUACUAGGCACCAACGAUUGCCUCUAAGCAACUUCACCAUCGAGUAGAACUUGUGAUCUCAGAAUUCCUGCACCAAACCUAUCAUCCAGGAAAGGUAAUGCUGGCAGAAAUGCACCUCGCAACUAAAUUAAAGUGUCGGCAAAUUCAAAAGGUCACGACAUGAGCAUGUAACCACUUGAUGGUUAAUUUACUUUUAACUUGAUUGUUACAGUACAAUAAAAGAAUUUGGGCUUUACUGCGACCCACGGAAUAACUGAUUUGAGCAUUUAUUUACAUGGCUAGGAGGGAAAGAAUUAGAAUGGGACAAUAUGACCUGAGCCUAAAAUGAAUGGAUCGAGGAGCACAAUUGCUGCUCCUCUGGUGUCCUAAGCCGCGGCUGCUUUGCACACCGGGCAUGAAUUCUUCGUCUGCAGCCACUUCUUGAUGCAGUCGGCAUGGAAGUCGUGGUUGCAUUUCAGUGUUCCCAGCACAUCCUUGUCUUUGUAACCCUCCUGCCAGAAUGCAUCCAUAGGUCAGAAUUCGACAGUUUCAGGCCAUGGUUUAUGGACAUCAGUUAAACACAGGUAUUGAGAAAAUGUACCAGGCAAAUGACACAGCUCCCAUCAUCUUGGUCAUCUUGAUCGUUUUGUGUUAGGUCAGAACUGCAACAGACCACUUCUCUCACACACUUAGCAAUUUUUUCAUCAGCCAACCCUGUGUUGACAUUACCCAUAAAUUCUCCCAAAGCCAAGAGCUCCUGCCGGCAAUGAAAUGUAAAGUUAAUAGAAAGGAUCAAAAUUCUGGAGCAAGAAAGAUGAAGAAACAAGAUGUGGUAUUUACCUCAUAACUCAUGUUGUCAAUGUCCAGUCUCAUGUUCCUGUGGGGGUCAGCUGCUGCUGCUCUUGAUUCGUAAAAGACCAACUGGUCCAGCAUCAUAAACCGCUUCACAAACAGCAGCAAGAUCAGUUUCAAGUUCUACAACAAACACUAACUCAAUUUCAUGAAACAGGAAAGAAAAAGCUAUCUACCUCAGCCUCGAGCAUCAAAGGAUGAAGAGCAUAGUAAGAGCUCCUAGCCCUUCUAUUCCUUCCAUUGCUAGCAUGCCCUACAGAGACAUGCCUUCCAUGCCUAGAAGAUGCAGCAGUUCUGGCAGGUAAUGGUUGAGCGAUCCGCAUGGAUGUAGAGGUAGCUGCAGAAGUAGCAGGUGGAUAGCUCCGAAUGACCGCCCCAUGGGGCAUUGCUCUGGAGCCAGAGGAAGCUGCGGGAGCUGGAUGAGGGUAGAUGGGAACAGAGCCACCAUGAACAGUUCUAGGAGCAUAGCCACCAUUAGCAAAUGUUGCACUGCCAGAUGAUGGGACAGUUGGAACAGCACCAACACUUAAGUUGAUGCUUCCAAUAGCAGGAUAGUAAGUCCUCUCCAGAGCUCUGCUAGUGAGUCCUGGUGCACCUACAAAAUCCAUCAAAACUCCUGCACUGUAAGUAUCAACAACAGAAAACUGUGAUAACAUUGGACGGAUGGGUUUGUUCAAUUCAAAAUCAAUGACAGGUAACCAGUGUUUUAAAUCAAGCCAUGAACGCGACUACCAACGAAACUUACAAGGAUCGAGUUCGCUUCCACGAUCUCAUGUUAGAAACAAUAUCAGAUAUCUAGCGUAUUUAAUUAAGCACCGAAUACAAACCUGAUGGUACAGUUCUUGCUGGCACAGAAACAGGUGCUUGGUUCCUUUCCACUGAUGUACCUAGGGAAGCACUUGCAGCUGAACCAAAUGAUGGCAGAUGAAUGGUGUUUGCUGUGUAAGUUGGAGCUGGUCUGGGUUCCAGUGAAACAUUAUGAUUGUGCCGUGCUCUCACAUUCCUCUGAAAUCCUUCUUGAUGGAUUAAGUGUUGGCCAUUCCAACCACUUUGCCCAAUGCUUAAAGGCAUUUGAGGAAGAAAGGGCUCAGCAGGUGGAGCAGGAUUUGGCUGCACUGAGUUAGAUAACUGAGUAUUGGAAGAGCUUCCAACAUAAUAACCAUUAGCACUGAACCCUACAGGGUUUAUGAUGGGAUUUUUUCGUUUCAUUGCAGUCCUUCUGUUGUCCAUAUGGGAACUCACUGGAGGAAAGCCUUCCUCAGAUCUAUGUGGAUAACUCACAGCAGGCUCUGCUAAAUGGCUGCUGGAGCUUCCAGCAGGACAAUGAACAAAGGAAGCAUGUGCGGUCCCUUGGUUCCCAACUCUAUAACCUACAGGUUGCACAGCAUGACUUGAAGAUGGAAGGUCAUUUGAUCUAACUGUCAUAUUCCCAUGACUUGAAGGAUCAAUUCUAAGAGGUGCAUCACUUCGACGGUGCACUAGAAGCUUCUGACCUGAGAUUAGAACAGAAAACAUUACUUAUUUUAUAACAAUUAUGAUCAAUGCACAAAAGUAUAGUGUAUUGGAUUCAGUCCAGCUACCUAAAGGCAGGGAUUCAUUGUGUGGAACAUUCUUGGGUUGAAUAUGAUCCAUCUCUGGCAGCUGGAUAUGGCUGUGGUUACUUCUAGCCAUAAAAAAAGAAGUCAGGUCUGGCCGCCCUUAAUCUGGAAAUGAAAAUAAAAUCUAUAUCAAUAAUCCAGCAUCAACAUAUAGCAUUAAAAACUUGAAUGAAAAAAAUAAAUUGCCAUGACGUUAUCACCAAUAUUGCUAGGUUACUGAUAUAUGCUGUGUAAGCUAUCACAAAAUAAGUGCCGAAAUCAUUCAAGUUCAUUCCAUAUUUCAAUGUUUGAUUGCCAGUACAUGAAUCAAAAAACAAACACAAUUCUGAAAUGAGCAUAAUGAGGGACAGCAAGACAACACAACACAAGAAUCCAGAAUUUCAAUCGAUUCAUAAAACUGCAAAGGUCACACUCACACCCAAAGCAGAACCACCCUUAUGAGACAUUUACAUAGUCGAAUCACAAAUAUGCAAUCCAUAUGAUACUACCUUUACUCGAGAAGUAAAUGGGCUACAAGGUUUUAGACCGAAUCAUUCACAUCCCUUGACAGGUAAAUGUAACAACUGGUAAGCUGACUGCAGAACACUGAUUUGGACACUUUGAAGUGCCCUCAUCGUCCACAAUAAUAGAGCAAUAUAUACAAACUGCCAAGGGGACUUAUCUAGUUAAACCCAGCGACAUGGCACCUAUAAACAACGCAAAAUGAUCCAUCAAAUGGAUUUACAACCACAUUGUAUAUCACAUUAUUCUUUCCAAUCUUUUUAUACAUUGUUAUUAAAUAUAUAAACCAAAUCAAACAAAAUAAUUUUACUUUACAUACCAGCAAACAUAAUAUACAAAGAGAAAAGAACAAAAAGAAGAAAGAGCAGAUUGCAAAUGGAAGAAGAAAUGCUCAAAGCUACAAGCCCAGAUGUCCCCAACUAUGUCAUUCCUAAAAUUCUCUCUGGAUGUGCUUCUGCCCUUCCUCUGUCCAUUGGUAAAUCCACCUCACUCCAAAAUCAACAGCUAUCUAGCUUGUAUUCCUUUCUGACAUGAUUCAUCUUGUCAGAAAUAACACUCCCAGCAUGCAAAACUGGAGACAAGCUGCAGCUUUAAUCCUGUGUAUGAGUUCUUGCUUUCUAGUUCUACAUAACUAAGAGGUUAGAAAACAUCUUCCCUACGCAUGAUCAAUUUCAUAACAGUAAGUAUUGAAGGAUAUGCUAAAUCAACACUCUGAUUGAACUAUGCUCACUACAACCUAACAUUUCACAAAUGACAAUGUCAGGUUCCAUGUUUACACUAUAAAAGUUUAGAUGUAAGUAGUUAAAGCAGCAAAUGUGAUAUGAAUAUAAACCAUCAAAAGAACAGAGUUAAUCUUUAACCAACACAUCACAUGACCAACAGCAUAAAUGACUACCAGAUAAUGUCCCGAUAAGACAUCAAACGAGUGAACAUCACACAACAUUCAGACAAUCAGAUGUCUAAUGUAGCUGAAUCACAACCACCACAUUGUAUUACUACGAGGACAACACCAAUGACAUUGGAGUAUGCCUAAGACAGGUGUUCCGAAGGCACGGUAGUAUAAACUGGGAGAAAUGCACCACAAAUUCCUACUGUAGCAUCUCGGCAUCAUAUCUGAGUAGUCAAGUAAACAAAUGCAGACAACCAUCAUAUCCAUCUACCUGAAGGUAGUACAUUCUAAGUCAAUGGAAAUCAACAUGUCAAAACAGAAAUCACACAUCGAAGGGUCACUGGAUUGAAAAUCAAACUCUAAUAGGCCCGAAGUCACAUUGCUAAUGCUAAACAUCAGCCCUGCAUUCACUUCAACAUAAGAAAAAAUGUUUCGUUUGCCAUUUUUACACCACACAAUGUUUAAGUGGAAACUACAAAGCAUGGAACGAGGAUAAGUCGAAGAUGCAGAAGACGUGAAAAUGGAUACCGGAGCAGAAUAGUUAUGCAGAUUUGAAGAGCUACCAGAACAAUGCUUAGUAGCGAAGGCAGAAAAAGGGGUGCUCAGGGGUAUACCCCCUAAAAUGGAAAGUACAUGCUCAGUUCUAAAAAAGCAAUCUUUGUCCGUAGAAUUAAACUCGAUUAACUACCCUUUUCGAGAAACAAUUAUGGUAGCUUAGCUCUCAUGAUGGCUUACCAGAAAGGAACAUCCACCUAUCCGCAAUGAUACGAGUCCACAUGACCAACGAGAUUGUAGAAUCAGAAUCCCAACCACACACCCCAUCCAUCUAUCCAUGACGAUUCCUCGAAACACCUCGCUACGACUCUAAACAUCUCUAAACGAAUCAACGAGCGCGAAUCGCAUUCCUCAGCUCGGCGCGCCAAAUCGCCUCCAUGCCCGAUGGAAUCGCGCCAUCCAACGGGCCAGCACGCACGAAAACCGACGCCUAGACCCGGACUCUCGGAUAAACGAGCAUCUAAGCCGGAACAAACCACCGAUCGCUCCAUACCACCGGUCAAAUCGCACGAAAACAGCAGAAUCAGGCCGCAAAUCGGAGGGCCGUACCUCAAACGCGAGCCGAUCCGUGGUCCCCGCCGAAUCGGCGACGAAAUCCCCCGGGCGCCGGCGGUAGGGGGAUUCCUCGGGCGGUCGGGAUGAGGAAGGAAGAGGUCGCCGUACGGCGGAAGCUUCGGGGAGGGGAUGGGGUGGGGCGGAGACGCAACCCCGCGCCGCUGCGCCUGCCGCUGUAAACAAACAGCUGAAUUUGUCCGUGUAAGGAAGGGGAACGGGGUGGGCGAGGAGGGUGACGGGGUAUUUAUAAUGGCACGCAGGCACGCGGCCCGGGCGGGCGGAGAACGGGGAGGGGAGGCGGGGUCCGGGACGGAGGAGGAGGGGCCCGCCAGGCGGUGGGCCCCACAGACCUGUGGCUGGCCCGCGCUCCCUCGGCUCUCUCUCUCCUUUACGACCAGCGAGCUGCCACUGCCAGGAUAACAAAAAGUUCCUUUCCGAGUAGACGUGAAUUUUCUUUUCUUUUCUUUUCUUUUUUUGGGUCUCCGGUUUUCAGCUGGGCCCACGCGUCAGUCGGACUCGGGGGCCGGUCCUGACGCGACACGUGCUGUAUCUGUACAUAGCAUUGGUGUGCCCCCUGAUGGGCUCUCAAAAAAAGUUUUCAGCUGGGCCCACGCGUCGGUCGGACUAGCGGGGCCCGACGUGACACGUGUUGUAUCGGUGUGGUACGUAUCGUUGUGCAGGGGGCAUGGGUGGUAAGACGUGACGUGAACCAUCCAUCGGCACGUAGAGUAAAAAUUGCUUGUUUGACCGGCCGGCGGCCCGGCAUGGCAUGUGUCACGGACGCACGCCACGAUGUCAUGUACGAGUAGAAGAGUAGUAGUACCCCUUAUUCGCUGCGAUCCCUGCUGUCGUCUCUCGUUUUCGGCAUGGGGGAAGUGAGGUAGAUGGAUACCGUGUGUGGGAUGGCUUUGCCUUGCCCCUUUGUUUUCUCCAAGUUCACACUCACGCUCAAUGGAAAACGGGGCAGGGGUCAGGGGAUACGGUACAGGAACAGGACGGCUAUGGAAAAGGCUUUGGAUUCCAACCUAACGAAGUGGGGUGGGGUGGGGUGGGGGGGGGCGGGGGGGUGCGGGCCGGGAAAGUUGGAGGUUCGGCGUCAGGAGGAGUAUGGAGUAUUCACUCCGCGGGGCGGGAACCGAUGGGGCCGAGCGCAGGAGGCGCAGACUGGCAGGUUGACCCCGGUGCGGGGGGCGAUGACAUGUCCCACACUUCCCUGAAACGGGGGGGAGUCCCGAGAGGGAGAGAGGGAGCCUCUUUUUGUUGCUCUCUGCUGGAGUGCUCGUGGCUACUACUCUUCAGGAAUCACAAGUCUCCGGUACACCCCACACCCCAGAGGCCCAGACCGGUACUACACGAACCCUUCUCCUGCACUGCAAGCCGCAGGUGGGGCCCGUGAACAGCGUAUGGUUCGUAAAGAUUUGAGAUUCCUCCACGCUUUCAUGAUCACCGAAAAGUUUCGUUUUCCUUUAUCUUUUUGCCGGACGAAAAUAAGUGAUCGCACAUUUUCCUUUUUCCUUUCUUCUGUCCGGCACGAUCCUCCCCUAGCAUUGCACAAGACCGUGCGGCUCAGGACGGACGGGCGGAGCCGAGGAGGGCUUUCCCAGCAAGGGAAGAAAGGUAGCCGCUGUACCUGUACUGGACCAAACGGAGCCGCUCUUGGAUACGGCGCGGGGGCCCACUCGGCAGCGAGCCAGCGAGAGCGGUGGCCACUGGUCAGAGCGCGGGAAGGAAACGUGGCCGUGGCCCGCCAGGCGGGACACCAGGGAGGCAGGCAGGCAGGCAUCCCAUCAAUCGGCGGCGGCAUGUGACCAGCAACCAGCCAGAGGCAGGCACGCAGGCGGGCGUCCGCGUAGUUAUCGCGCCCCCGACGCAACGGUUCACGCUUGGGCCACCCCACCCAGCCGGCCGCGGCCGGAGACGCGGACCACGGCCACGGGGGGCGCCGCCCCCCCGUAGCACGCGAGGCGAGCGGAGCCAGCUGCGCGGCCGCGCGAGCUCCACAUGGGUUUUUCCCUUUUUCGCCAUGUGAUCCCGUCGAAUCGCCCGUUCCUUCCAUCCGCUCGUCGUCCAACCCAACCCCCGAAUACCAGAGCGGGCAACACGUCGUCCCCCCGCUGCGGGGUCCGUCACCGCCCCCGUCACGUGCGGCAGGGGCGCCCAGCGCCAGUGGGGGAAGGUGGUGGCGUGGGUGCGCGACCGCGACCGCGUCGCCCGUCGGGAGGCCCGGCGCUCAUCGGGUGCGGUCGCCACCGCCCGCUCGCUCGCGCCACGGCCCCACGGAGACCCCGCCCCGGUUCGACUCGACCUCAUCAUCCGCCCCCACACCCCACUACAUCCAGAGCAUCCCACCAGCCACCAAUAAGCGGCGCCCCGCGGGCGAACCUUUUCUUGCCCGAUCGAGCUCUGGGACUGGGGACUCCGUGGAUCAGACCAGGCCGGCCGAGCGUCACGCCAACGCAAUCCGCUCUCGCAAGUAUCAUUUGUGUCAACAGGGACACGGCCACACGGGGAUCCGGGCAAUGAACUCGCAAUUCGCAAAGACCCGAAAGAAGAGAGACAGAUGCGGAAGUCAUCGCCUCUGCGGCUUUGCAGCUCCCGGCACGCCUACGGCCUACGGGCCUACUUGCACUCAAAUGGGGUGGAAAUGGAUUAGUGCAGCGAGGUGAGAUCAGUCGCUCGCGCACGUUAGCCUAAUAGCCGAGAUUUGAUAAGCUCUACUAGUACGCUCCUAGACGUAUCUGACCACAUGGUACACAACAGUACACGCACGCACGAAACUAGUCUUGGGCCUUGUUUAGUUGGGGAAUUUGGGAGGUACCAAAUUACUGUUACAGCACUGUAGCACACUGUAGCGUUUCGUUUGUAUUUGUGAAUUAUUGUCCAAAUAUUGACUAAUUAGGCUCAAAAGAUUCGUCUCGCAAAGUACAACAAAACUGUGCAAUUAGUUUUAAAUUUCAUCUACAUUUAGUACUCCAUGCAUGUACCGCAAGUUUGAUGUGAUGGGGAAUCUUCUUUUUGCAUAGUGUCAAAAUUGGAAGUUGGGAGUAACUAAACAUGGCCUUGGAAAAAUAGUGAAGGGAAUGAUCACACGAAUUUGGCCUUUGAGAGUCUGAGACCGGUGCUCCAAUCCCUCCGACGGAAAGUCGGUGAACGAUCAAAAGAUUCCGGCAGCAAGCCUGAUGCACAAAAACCGUGUCAAAAAACCAGGCUGAACAAAUACCUUUCUACGUUUUUGGUUCCUCCACCAUACAGUACAAAUUCACAAGGGAGUUCGCUACAAGUCCUCACUCACAUCAUGAGCAGCCAGCCAACAUUGACCGUCGGUUUCCGGGCACUUGCGAGGAACAUCUUUUCGUCCGCAUCAGGUUACGCUGCCGUUUAAUCCUGUGCCAACCACCUCAGUAUACGAGGAGACCUGAUUUUAUUCGCUUCCACACCGUUGCUGACACGAGAAGAACCGUCGUCACAGCCGUGUAGAACCUUUUUCUUUUCCUAGCUGUGUACAAAUUUUACAACCGGGCUUUCGCUAAUGCGGCCGGCUUGAAGCUCGCGACCCCGGUGAUCUCCCUGCCGGUCACCAGGCUGUUGAUGUCGUACGUGCCUUCGUACGAGUAAAUGGGCUCCAGGUCGCAGAACGCCUGUGGAGAUCGCGACAGUUAAUACAAUUUACAAAAGAAAAAGGGUGAUAAAAUUAAAGGUGUCCUACGAAAUGGUUGAGGUGUAAACCACUAGAACAACAAACCAACUAGCCAUGAGCACAUUUCAGUAUAUCAAUCAGGUCCCUGUAGUCUGUACCUUGGCCACAAGGAAAUCAGCCAAAAUCCCGUUUCCACCUAGCAGCUCUCGGCCGAGGGAAACCACCUCGCGGGCCGUUCUGGAGUUCCAAGCCUAACAGUGACAUCCAGGAAGGAAGGAAGGAAGGAAAUUGUUAGCCUCUGAUAAUUCAAAGCAGAGGCAUAGUUCGAGAACAAGCAUAUUUGGCAGCUAGGGAUCGGGUCACGAACCUUUCCUAGGCUAGCGUGGCCUGGCGUCAUUUUCCCCGACUCGUAAAGCUUGCAUAGGCGCCAGCCAACAAGAAGCAUGGAUUGGAUGUUACCGAGCAUCCGGACAAGUUUCUCUUGGAUCAGCUGAAAAGCUGUCAGGGGAACUCCAAACUGCUUCCUUUCUUUCAGGUAUCUGGUUCAAUUUUGACGAAAUUGUAAAGUAAUUGCUAAUGGCAAAAGAAGUGUAAAAUGGUAUAGUGGUCCGUACCGAUGGCACAUAUCGAAGACCCCCAUUGAUAUGCCGAUUGGUUGCCAUGCCACCAUGAUACGCGAAAUAGCGAGGACCUGUUUUGUGUUGUAAAAGUAGGUAAGCGGACUGGAUUACAUCACCUGACAGCAUAGCAAUUUAGCAUAACAGAAGCAGAAUAAGAAAAAUGUGAUCAGUACCUUGCUUAUAUCCUGAAAUGAAUUGACACCUGGCAAUCGGUCCUCCUCAGGGACGAACACUUUAUUAAAAACUAUAUCACCGUUCUGAACCAUCCUAAGACCAAUUUUGUUCUCAAUCUUUGUAGCUUUCAAACCAGGAGCUCCUUUCCUCACAAUAAACCUAGAGGCAAUCAAACAGACUGUGACUAGACAACAAGAUAAUUAAAAUGAAAAAGAGCAGCACAAAAAAACACCAAUUAGAUAAAAAAAAUACUAGUUUAUUCAUGCUCAGUUUCAUGCUUCAAAGGAAAGUUCAUCAGUGGUUCAAGACAUGAUGAUUUACCCAUUUAAUUGUUUUGUAUCUGCAUUCCUAGCUAAUACCACGAGCACAUCUGCAAAGGUACUGUUGCCUAUCCAGCGCUUUUGACCAUCUAUGUGCCAUCCACCAGGUACCUGUUCCACAUGACACCAAGAUUUAAGCUGCAUGCUACU
RNAcentral lists this long non-coding RNA (37874 nucleotides) under Setaria italica (foxtail millet). RNAcentral describes it as "long non-coding RNA (SITA_LNC003526)". Lineage: Eukaryota; Viridiplantae; Streptophyta; Magnoliopsida; Poales; Poaceae. The record is from RNAcentral.